GUAAUGUCUGGGAAACUGCCUGAUGGAGGGGGAUAACUACUGGAACGGUAGCUAAUACCGCAUAACGUCGCAAGACCAAAGAGGGGGACCUUCGGGCCUCUUGCCAUCGGAUGUGCCCAGAUGGGAUUAGCUAGUAGGUGGGGUAAUGGCUCACCUAGGCGACGAUCCCUAGCUGGUCUGAGAGGAUGACCAGCCACACUGGAACUGAGACACGGUCCAG
RNAcentral lists this ribosomal RNA (220 nucleotides) under uncultured bacterium. Its description in RNAcentral is "partial 16S ribosomal RNA". It matches the Rfam family "Bacterial small subunit ribosomal RNA", at positions 110 to 334 of the family's 1533-position model. The record is from RNAcentral.